CAUAUUUUUUAUAAAGUUGAUAACAAGCACAAACUAUAGUAACUGUUUGAUUUCUUCACAAGUGUUGGUAAAAUAAAAUUAAAUGGAUAGAAUACAUGCCUAUUUCUGAAAAACACCAAGAAAACCACUAUUUUCAACUUUCUUGCGUUCUAAAAAAUAUGAGCGACUAAGAAUACCACAACAAAAUUUCGUCUGUAGUAAGCAAUAGAUAUGUACUUUCUAUGCUUAAAUUUUUGUCGUGGUAUUCUUAGUCGCUCAUGUUCAAAUAUCGAAAAUUCGGAGAAAAAAUCAUGUGAAAAAUUAUAAUAAUCAGUCUGAAUCGAUCGGCUUAAUUUUUUCCGGAAACAAACAUAUUGUGACGGUGAAGCUGAACUUGCAGAAGUUUGACGACGAUUGUCGCCUGAUGUCACUAUAGAAGCUAUAAUAGUAGCCUAUGUACAGUGAAAUUGUGCACAGAAGCCGUGUAGUACUUAGAAGCUCAAAGUAAUAUCAUGAAUCUUCAUUGUAUGUGCUAGCUUGUGUAGAUCUGCUUCAUGAAAAUUGGACUCAAUUCAGAUGAAAAUGUAAAGUAAAUGGCCAUGAAAGAAUAUUACAUAUAACAGAAUUUUUGUGAGCAGGCAUAUACUGUAAACCAACUUUUAUUUGUAUGCGAGAAAUUUUUGCAAGGGCUUUGUCACCUCGAAUAUAUCUCACCAUGAACCAGUCUUUGGCGUAUGAUUGUAAUAACAAAACGUACGUGGAUUAAGCUUGCGAAAUAAAGUCGUCGCGAAUAAAUGGUAGUUUACAGUAUGUAUAUAGCAUAUAUUUUUAAAAGUGUGUUGUUCAAAGUUGAUUUUUUUCUUUCAGAUAAUGAAACAUUAUUACAGUGCACAUAUGUACAUGUAAUUGUGAUAUGUAUUUGCUAAUGUACAUGAAUGUACCAUACAUUCUGUUGAUAGUACGAUAAAUUAUGUUGAUUAUUUAAUUUACAUGUAGCCUGUUGUGAAGAAUUCUUUGAUGUGUACAUACAACAUGUGUACAUGUACAAUCACAAUGUUGUUGACUAUAAUAUGAUUUCUUGAAACCAUUACUUUAAUAUGAAUACUAUAUGUUAUGUGUGCUUGCUUAAGCCAUUAUAUGUGAAGUAUAAUGGACGAUACUAAUUUUUACAUGUGUUUCAUUUAUGUUUGUUAAUACUUAAGGGAGAUAUGUAUUAUUCUUUGUUACAUGUACAGGUACCAAUCAUUGGAUUUGAAUAAAAUCGAUAAUACUAUUUUGUACAUUAUCUUCUCUCUUUCUGUGAACACAUAUAUUCUGGAAUGUGUACCUAGGAAACAUGCACAUUUCAAUAUGUAGAAAAAAAUAAGGAGAAAAAUAACUGCAAUGUUAAAUACUAUGUACCUUUUUUACUUGUGCAUGCUGUUUGUAUUUGGGCUAGAAAUAUUAUUUAAUUGGUUACCGAAAAAAGUCAUUGAAUAAAUGAAUUUCUGAAUUUAAA
Molecule: long non-coding RNA, 1477 nt
Organism: Magallana angulata
Lineage: Eukaryota; Metazoa; Mollusca; Bivalvia; Ostreida; Ostreidae
Exons: 3
Source: RefSeq, a predicted model, not a curated record